This is a long non-coding RNA of Ictidomys tridecemlineatus (thirteen-lined ground squirrel), 1375 nucleotides long. RefSeq lists it as uncharacterized. The record is from RefSeq and is a predicted model, not a curated record. Lineage: Eukaryota; Metazoa; Chordata; Mammalia; Rodentia; Sciuridae.
GCUGAGACUGGCUUUGAACUCAUGAUCCUACUCCCUUGGCCUCCAGAGCCACUGGAAUUACAGAUUCCUUUUGAUUCUUUGGUCUACCUAAAUGAGUCUAGUUAUAUGAUCUCAGCCCUACCUCUCUCCUAUCAGGAUUAUGAAACUCAAGUGGGGUCCUAGUGAACUGCGGUGACCUUGUCACACAGGGUGCUGGGGCUCUACCUCCACCAUCUCAUUUCAACUUCCAUGAGCCCAUGAAAGGGAGAUGUGGAGAGGCCUGAUCUCGGGGUCCAUCCAGUGACCCACAGAAUGCAUCCUGACGGGGCCCAAUUUUGACCCCCAUUUGGCUUCACCCCACUUAGGAUUGAUUUCCAAGAGCCUCUCUUACCUGUCUGACCCAUUCCACACGCACUCGAAUUUAUCAAAAAUGCAGUCGUUUUCGUAGAGGGAGCACAACUUGCUGCGGAGGUAGUCAUGAACCUGAGAGGAGACGCCAAAGUCAGCCAUCAUCGUAAAAGCAUGUAAAGUCUGGAGAACUCCUGCCUGCAGUUAGAGCAUUUAAAAGAACAGCUAUGAAAAAGGAAUGAGAACUACUCUCCAGCAGGUCCGCUCUGCUCGUUCUGUCUGCUCUACUGUAUCCCCACAAGAAAGCAUCAAACCUAAACUCCCCAUGCAUCAGAUGAGGAGCCACCAGCCAGGCGAAGGUUGAUUGGAUAGAUGCCUUCCCUACAUCCAGGGGAAAUUGCUGACACUGUCACCUCCAUCCUCAAUGAGCAGAUCAUUCCCAGGUUCAGACUUCCCGCCUCUACUUCUCAGGUUGUUCAACUAGUCUCCAAAGCUUGAACAUCACUUGGAGGCUCCACAUCCCCCACUGACCCCAGUCAUCGGGUAAGGUUGAGAGGCCUAACGGCAUCCUCAAGGAUCAUCUCACUAAAUUUGCUAUGGAACUCAGGCUGUCCUAGCCCAUUCUCCUGCCGUUGUCCCUCACCUGAAUUCAGGCAGCCUCAAGAGUCCCCUCAGGCCUUAGCCCCUUUGAGCAACUCUAUGGGUGCCCUUUCUUAACCAACCAAAGCUUUCCAAUCACUCCUCCUCCCCUUGUGUCCUACCUCACACUUCUACACAAAUUCCUAAGAGAACAUGCAGACAGGUGCCUUCCCACACCAUCCAUUGCCUCAAUCCCGGCACAACAAGGAACUGAAUCGGACCCUCUUCAACUGGGUGAUGCAGUCUAACUUUAGGAACUGCAUUCUCAAUCACUAGAACCUCACUGGACGGGACCCCAUACAGUCAUACUUACUACUCCAGUGGUGACCAACCUUUUGGACACUCUCCCUGGUACCAUGUCUCCCGCCUUAAAAAGUCAUCUGUUCAGUCCUGGACUUCCACCAAAAUU